AGGAGAGCAAGUUUAUUAUGAGGAAGGGCGUUGGUGAACCUGGCGACCUUAAUGGUAUGGUGUUGAGUGCCAGCAGGACCCUCUGGCUGCCGAUAACACAUGAACGUUUGUCUGACUUCCUGCGAAAUGAACAGACGAGAGGUCAAUGGGAUGUGUUGUCCCAGGGUGGUUCCGUGCACCGAAUAGUCCACAUUGCCAAGGGUCAGGAUCCUGGCAAUAGCAUCACUCUGUUUCGUACUACUGUGGCUAACAGCGAUGGUAGCCAAAACGGUUUGCUGACCU
This 282-nucleotide unclassified non-coding RNA is filed under the name Hevea brasiliensis (rubber tree). Lineage: Eukaryota; Viridiplantae; Streptophyta; Magnoliopsida; Malpighiales; Euphorbiaceae. The record is from RNAcentral.